AGCAGCCGCGGUAAUUCCAGCUCCAAUAGCGUAUAUUAAAGUUGUUGCAGUUAAAAAGCUCGUAGUUGAAUUUCGGGGUCAGCAGGUUGGUCGUGCCAAUGGUAUGCACUGGCCUUGCUGAUUCCUCCCUCUUGAUGAGCCGUAAUGCCAUUAAUUUGGUGUUGCGGGGAAUCAGGACUGUUACUUUGAAAAAAUUAGAGUGUUUAAAGCAGGCAAGCGCUUGAAUACAUUAGCAUGGAAUAAUGAAAUAGGACGUUCGAUCCUAUUUUGUUGGUUUCUAGGAUUGACGUAAUGAUUAAUAGGGAUAGUUGGGGGCAUUAGUAUUCAAUUGUCAGAGGUGAAAUUCUUGGAUUUAUUGAAGACUAACUACUGCGAAAGCAUUUGCCAAGGAUGUUUUCAUUAAUCAAGAACGAAAGUUAGGGGAUCGAAGACGAUCAGAUACCGUCGUAGUCUUAACCAUAAACUAUGCCGACUAGGGAUCGGAUGAUGUUAAUUUUUUAAUGACUCU
This 508-nucleotide small RNA is filed under the name uncultured Glomus. RNAcentral's name for it is "SSU rRNA". It matches the Rfam family "Eukaryotic small subunit ribosomal RNA", at positions 569 to 1078 of the family's 1831-position model. The record is from RNAcentral. Lineage: Eukaryota; Fungi; Glomeromycota; Glomeromycetes; Glomerales; Glomeraceae.